ACGGAGGAUGCGAGCGUUAUCCGGAUUUAUUGGGUUUAAAGGGUGCGUAGGCGGAUUAAUAAGUCAGUGGUGAAAUACUGCAGCUUAACUGUAGAAUUGCCGUUGAUACUGUUAGUCUUGAGUAUGGUCAAGGUAGGCGGAAUGUGUAAUGUAGCGUUUAAAUGCUUAGAUAUUACACCGAACACCGAUUGCGAAGUCAGCUUACUGGGCCAUUACUGACGCUGAUGCACGAAAUCGUGGGGAUCGAACAG
This 251-nucleotide ribosomal RNA is filed under the name uncultured prokaryote. Its description in RNAcentral is "partial 16S rRNA". It matches the Rfam family "Bacterial small subunit ribosomal RNA", at positions 525 to 775 of the family's 1533-position model. The record is from RNAcentral.